This 302-nucleotide small nuclear RNA is filed under the name Prolemur simus (greater bamboo lemur). Its description in RNAcentral is "7SK RNA (ENSPSMG00000010482.1)". It matches the Rfam family "7SK RNA". Rfam says of the family: 7SK was discovered as an abundant small nuclear RNA in the mid-70s but a possible function has only recently been suggested. Lineage: Eukaryota; Metazoa; Chordata; Mammalia; Primates; Lemuridae. The record is from Rfam by way of RNAcentral.
GGAUGUGAGCGCAAUCUGGCUGAGACAUCUGUCACCCCAUUGAUUGCCAGGGUUGAUUCGACUGAUCUGGCUGGCUAGGCAGGUGUGCCCUUCCUCACCACUCCAUGUGCAUCCCUUCUGAAGCUACGUGCUUGGUUGAAGUAGACAACCUUCCCCAAUAGAGGAGGACUGUUCUUUGGUCAAGGGUAUACAAGUAGCUGUGCUCCCCUGCUAGAAUCUCUAAACAAGGUCUCAAGAAAUUGGGAUUCAAGAGUAAAGAAUCCAAAUUCAGUUUCAAAACUGAAGGUCUAUCAAUACCCUUC